This 616-nucleotide long non-coding RNA is filed under the name Triticum aestivum (bread wheat). RNAcentral's name for it is "long non-coding RNA (TAES_LNC014595)". Lineage: Eukaryota; Viridiplantae; Streptophyta; Magnoliopsida; Poales; Poaceae. The record is from RNAcentral.
UACGUGAGCACGUGCGUGAUAGUGUCUACCUUGUAUUCGAUGGUUUUUGAAACAAGUAGAGACCCUUGGUGUCUGGUCAAUCUGGUGAAAUGAGGAUAUGGUACCGUUUUGAGGCUUGUUUGAUUCAUAGGAAAAGUAAAGAAAAUGUGUAGGAAUAGGAAAAAAAUAUUUGCAAGCACUAUUCAUUCCUUUGGUCGAAAGGAACGGAGUUAAGGAAAAGUGGAGGAAAAUUGGAUUUGAUCUCACAAUUCACUUGGAUCUCUUUUUAGAAUUUAUAAGUCCAAGGUAAGAGAUCGGCGCCUCCUAGUUAUACUUUUAGUGUGGUUUGACUUUGAUUUCAUCAUGUAUAGUGGAAUUCCUGUGUUUUUCUAUUCAUGUGAAUCAAACAUGCAAGUCUAGAACUUCUGUGUUUUCAGACCUGCAUUUCUUAUAUUUUUGGGUGUUUUCUAUCUCUACAUAUGUUUUUUUAAGACAAAUCUCUACAUAUGUAAAACCCUGCGUUUGCACCAAAACCGCAGCUCAUAGCCAUGCGUACCUGCUGUGUUGGGCCUAGUAAGCCGAGCACAUGCGUGUUAGGCCUUUAUUUUUUUUUUGUUUUGAGUGGAUCGUCUGUGUU